AUGGAAGCAGAACUCACAGCACUAGAUUCAGCUACGGUCGAAGCAGAUUGGCUUCGCCGACUCUUGAAUGACUUGCCCGUUGUUGAGAAACAUGUACCGGGUAUCCUUAUGAAUUGCGACAAUCAAACUGUGAUCACGAAAGUGAACAGCUCAAAGGAUAACAUGAAGUCAUCAAGACACGUUCAGAGAAGGUUAAAGUCUGUCAGAAAAAUGAGAAACUCCGGAGUUAUUGCAUUGGAUUAUAUCCAAACGUCUAAAAAUCUGGCAGAUCCUUUUACUAAGGGUCUAUCAUGUAAUGUGAUAGAUAAUGCAUCGAGGGAGAUGGGUAUGAGACCCAUAAUAUGA
RNAcentral lists this ribosomal RNA (345 nucleotides) under Triticum aestivum (bread wheat). RNAcentral's name for it is "partial small subunit ribosomal RNA". Lineage: Eukaryota; Viridiplantae; Streptophyta; Magnoliopsida; Poales; Poaceae. The record is from RNAcentral.